This 12871-nucleotide long non-coding RNA is filed under the name Brassica rapa (field mustard). Its description in RNAcentral is "long non-coding RNA (BRAP_LNC005605)". The record is from RNAcentral. Lineage: Eukaryota; Viridiplantae; Streptophyta; Magnoliopsida; Brassicales; Brassicaceae.
AAGAUGAAAAACCAAAUUAAUGCAAUGAAUACAAUUAGUUUGAUUUGGCUGAAUUAGAUUAAAAAUAGUUGUACUUUAAUUUGAAGGAAUAUGCGUAAGUCGAUCAAUCCAAAUUCUUUUAUUUAAAAAAAAAGAAAAAUUAAGAUUUGUUUGUUGCACAUAUCACUUAUUGUUAAUUACGGCCAUUUAUUAUGUCGACGGUUUUCUAAAUCCAUAAACCUUCUAACAAUCACGAAUGAUUAGAAAAUUAGGUAAACAUUGCAUGAUAUUAAAAAAGAAAAAUGGUAAAAAGAAACAACAUAUGUUCGAAAGAGUUGGUUGAAUACUAGAAAAAAAAAAUGAAAAACUGGUCUCGAGAUGAUUCAGAAAGAGAGAGAGAGGGGUCAAAAAUCAAAUACGAAACUUGCAAACCAAGUAACCUUUUCUUCCUCUUCUUCAAAGAAGAUCGGCUACGUUUGAUGGAAGCUCCUCAACAACCACAUUGUAAAACUUCUGAAUAUCAAAAAGCAUCCUCUCAUCGUCCUUGGUCACAAAGUUAAUCGCCACACCUUUCCUCCCAAACCUCCCACUCCUACCAAUACGGUGAAGGUAGUUCUCAGGCUGAGUCGGCAGAUCAAAGUUAAUAACCAAAGACACUUGCUGCACAUCAAUCCCACGAGCCAAGAGAUCGGUCGUGAUCAGCACACGCGAAGAGCCAGACCUGAACUCUCUCAUGAUAAUGUCUCUAGUGUUCUGGUCCAUGUCUCCGUGAGUCGCCGACACCGUAUGGUCACGGCUCCUCAUUUUAUCCGUGAGCCAGUCCACCUUGCGACGAGUGUUGACGAAGAUGACGCUCUGAGUGAUGGCCAACGUCUCGUAGAGGUAUCAGAUAUGAUGGAGAAGGAAUUGAUCCUUGUUGGAGCUACUGCUGUAGAGGACAAACUGCAAAAGGGGGUAUGCUAUAUAGGACAAACUUCAUUGUGAUUACCCAAUAUCACUCUUUCAAAAACUUCUUUUCAGCUUACUUUUUGUAGUUCACUUGAUCAGGUUCCUCAAUGCAUAGAUAAUCUUGCCCAAGCUGGUCUCAAGAUAUGGGUUUUGACAGGAGAUAAGAUGGAGACAGCAAUAAACAUAGGGUUUGUUCUUCUUUAUUGCGAAUACCACAGACCCUGGAACUGAUUUUUUUUUUUUACAAGAUUUAUUCUCCUCUAAGACUAAAUGGACUAAAUGAUUUGGUUGGCCAAAAUGCAGAUACGCCUGCAGUUUACUUCGACAGGGUAUGAAGCAGAUAUCCAUUUCAUUUGCUAAUGUAGAGGAAUCAUCUCAAAACUCCGAAACUGUACGUAUCUUAUGUCGAAACUAUUAAAAAAGUACAUUACUGUUUCAUUCGAGUAUUUCGUGUGAUGUAGAUAAAAAAAAUGUCUUUAAUGUUCAGGCUGCAAAGGAGAGUAUUUUGAUGCAGAUCACAAAUGCCUCACAGAUGAUCAAAAUAGAAAAAGAUCCACAUGCAGCGUUUGCUUUGAUCAUUGAUGGGAAGACACUUACAUAUGCUUUGAAGGAUGAUGCCAAGUACCAGUUUCUUGCACUUGCAGUUGUCUGUGCAUCAGUAAUCUGCUGUCGUGUCUCUCCUAAACAGAAAGCACUUGUAUGGAAAAUUCCAUAAACCUUCAAAACAAUUUUAUUAGUUUCCCAAACAUUACAAUUGUCUUGAUUAUUUUUUUGUCAGAUAACAAGGCUAGCGAAAGAAGGAACAGGGAAGACAACUUUGGCAAUCGGUGAUGGUGCAAAUGAUGUUGGCAUGAUUCAAGAAGCUGAUAUUGGUGUUGGCAUCAGCGGCGUUGAAGGCAUGCAGGUGCUUAAACUUCUCUUCAACACAAUGAGACAUACAUAGUCAAGUUUCGCCUAUUUUUCUAACAAAACACGUUUCUAUUUUCUUUUUGCAGGCUGUAAUGGCAAGUGACUUCUCCAUAGCCCAGUUUCGCUUUCUGGAGAGACUACUUGUUGUCCACGGACAUUGGUGCUACAAGAGAAUAGCCCAAAUGGUUAGUAUAUACGUUUCAGAUAAUUUGAUAUAUCACCAGACAGCAUAUACACUUGAUCUUCAUUGGUAAAUGUUGCUUUCACAGAUCUGUUACUUCUUCUACAAGAACAUAGCGUUUGGCCUAACUCUCUUCUACUUCGAAGCCUUCACCGGAUUUUCUGGUCAAUCAAUAUUCAACGACUCCUACUUAUUACUCUUCAACGUUGUUCUCACUUCUCUCCCCGUCAUUUCUCUCGGAGUUUUCGAACAAGAUGUUCCUUCUGAUGUCUGCUUAGAGGUUAUAGUCUCUCUCUAUCAUCUUCACAUACAAAACAAAACACUUCCUAAACUUCAUAUCUUUGCCUCUGUUUUUAUAGUUCCCUGCAUUGUAUCAACAAGGCCCCAAGAACCUGUUCUUCGACUGGUACAGGAUCCUCGGAUGGAUGGGGAAUGGAGUUUACGCAUCCAUAGUCAUCUUCACACUCAACCUCGGAAUCUUCCAUGUCCAAUCAUUCCGCUCUGAUGGCCAAACCGCAGACAUGAACGCCAUGGGAACCGCCAUGUUCACUUGCAUCAUAUGGGCAGUAAAUGUACAAAUAGCUCUCACCAUGAGCCACUUCACUUGGAUCCAACACGUAAUGAUUUGGGGAAGCAUAGGAGCUUGGUACAUCUUCCUCGCCCUUUACGGUAUGCUACCACCAAAACUCUCUGGUAACAUCUUCCACAUGCUCAUCGAGGUUCUAGCGCCUGCGCCGAUCUUCUGGCUUACCACACUCCUGGUCAUUGCCGCUACAACGCUCCCUUACUUGUUUCACAUCUCGUACCAAAGAUCGGUGAACCCUCUUGACCAUCACAUUAUACAAGAGAUCAAGCAUUUCAAGAUUGAUUUAGAGGAUGAGAGAAUGUGGAAACGAGAGAAGUCCAAGGCUAGAGAGAAGACAAAGAUUGGUUUCACGGCUAGAGUUGAUGCUAAGAUCAGACAGCUAAGAGUGAAGCUUCAGAGGAAACAUUCGGUGUUGAGUGUCAUGAGUGGGACUUCUUCUAAUGAUACAACUUCAAACUCACAACAGACUUAAUUUAAGAUCAAGUAAAUUUUGUUUUAACUCCAUUGUUUUAUGAGAUAUUGCACUCCCUAUACAAACAUAACUCUAUAAUUUGCAUGGAUGGAAGUUUGCUUUUCUUACUGAUGUGUUUUUUUUUUAAUGUCAGUUAUGCCCUUAUUUCAAGUAUUAACACAUUCUAAAAAUAUUACGCAUUUACAAAGUUCCUAUAUUGAUAUACCACGUGUGAAAGAUUUUGUCUAGAGAAAGCACUAUAAUCGAUACAUGCAUUGUCUAAAAAUCAAACAUGUUCAUCUCUCAUCUGUCCCAAUUUCAUUGUUUAUUCCGUCGAACCUUUCUUCACUCCUUCAUCUCUGUCUUGCUCCGUCGUGGCUGUCGUCCACGCAGUUGACUUGCUUCAUCUUCCUUGUUCAUCUACGCCAUCGACUAAAAACAGAGCCACCACGAACGUCUCCGCCUCAAGUUUCUUCUUCUUCGCCGCAAAUCGUCGUGUUUGUCUCGGUUCACCGGACCAUCUCCCUCAUCUUUCUCUGCCGAUGUCGUCAUGCUCGGAUUCAAGCCUAGCCAUAGUGUUCAUCCUCGCCGUCUCUGUCUCGUUACAGAAGAUAUCGAACAAUAUUGGCGAUUUCUUAUGUUUUGCAACACAAGCCCUCCAACCUUUAGAUAUUCUCAAGGUGGCUCCAAUAUUUUCAAGUGUACAAAUAGUUUCACAAAUCGGCUCCAGACUUUUAGAUUCUACAUUUCAAACCCUUUAAAAACUCCCCGAAUAGUCCUCGGAGUCUUAGAUGUUUUCAAUGUUAAAAUUCAAAUGACAAUCUUGAGAUAAUUAGUGUAUAUUACCAGCUAAAUAUAACCAUAAAAGCCAAGUAAAAUUUUUAACCGACUAUUUCACAAAUUAUAUCAUUAAUAUUACCGGCUAACUAUAAAAAUGUAGAGAUAAUUAGUAUAUAUUACCGGUUAACAAUAACAAAAAAAUUCAAGUACAAUGUUAACCGGCUAAACAACCAUUUAAUCAUUUGUAUUGUGAUUUGUUAAUGAGUUAAUUUUAUGUUUACCCGAACAUGUAAAUUUAAUCAUAUGUUUUGUGAUUUAUUAGAGAGUUAAUUUUUUGUUUAUCUGAACUGAUACAAAAUAACAAUCAUUAACCGAUCAAAAUAGCCGGUAAAUAUGAAUUAAAUACCAGCUAAAAUGUAAAGUACCCGGAUAAAUCAGAAUAUAAGAAUGCUAAUUUAAAAAUGAGACAUAUAAGCUAUAUGUAUAACUGGUAAUUAAAAUCUAAAUACCAGCUAACAUAUAAUAUAUCCAGUUAAAUAAUAAUAUAGACAUGCUAAUUUAUAAAUUAUCUAAAAAAUCACAUUAUAACCGGCUAACUUACAUAUCAACAAUAUAAAUUAAGCUUACACCGUUGAGAAGCUCUACAUUGUUUCAAUAAAAAAAAAAGAAACUAGCAGUAUUCAAAAUUAAAUUAAAAAAACAAAUAAAAAAUAUGCAAAAUAACCGGGACUAGUUUUAAAAAAACAACAAAAAUGGAUCCUCAACUUGCAUCGAUCGAACUGAGAAGAUCCAACCGCUCGAUGCUCCAACUGCAGUACUUGAUCCAGCCUAAAAUAUACAAAUUGAUCGCAUACUGAACACCGUUCUACUCGAUUAAAUCCUCUCGGCAUAAGCUGAGAGAUGUCAAUCAAAGUCCCACAUUGGAUAAUUAGACAAGGAGUGUCUAAUAUAUAAAGAGAUGUCCAACUCUAAUAGUACGAGGCCUUUUGGGAUGGAAACCAAAAGUAAAACCAUGCGGGCUUGCUAAUUAGGCCCAAAGUGGACAAUAUCGUACUAAUCGGAUAAUAUAGAGUUGGACAUGGGAUUUCACAAUCCCAACAAUUGGUAUCAGAGCGGUUGACGAGAAAUCUGCAAGAAGACCAAAAUACCCUUCGAGUAGGAAUGGGACCCUUCAAGGUGGAAAGGGAGGUUCGGCAGAGAUUAGUCAGAAGAUCCUGGAAUUGUGGGAAGAACAUUCUCGACUAAGGGUGUCGAAUGUCGAAGAUGCGACAAGGCACCGAGAUGAUUCGCUAGAGGAAAAAUGGCACAAGGUGUGUGGUCCUUAGCUUGAGGGGGAGAAUGAGAGAUGUCAAUCAAAGUCCCACAUUGGAUAAUUAGACAAGGAGUGUCUAAUAUAUAAAGAGAUGUCCAACUCUAAUAGUACGAGGCCUUUUGGGAUGGAAACCAAAAGUAAAACCAUGCGGGCUUGCUAAUUAGGCCCAAAGUGGACAAUAUCGUACUAAUCGGAUAAUAUAGAGUUGGACAUGGGAUUUCACAAUCCCAACAUAAGCUUCAUCUCAUGUGCCCACAAUCGAACGACGGAGUUGUGACAGUGGCGAGAAGAAAAGACACAGACACGGCAGCGAGAAGAGAAGACGCAAACACGACAGCAAGAAGAGAAGACGCAGGCACGGCAACGUUCUGGUGCGGCGGAGAUGCGGCGACACCAGUGGAACGGAGACAAACUUUUUUUAUUAUGUUGGUUUUUUUAUAUUAAAAUUUAAACUACUUAAUUAAAGAAGGAGUAUAUGGUAAAAUACUCCUAGACAAAUAGUCUGACAACCAUGUUUUCUAGAGUUUUUCUAUUUUUGCAAAUUUUUCAGUUAUUGUAUAUUUUUCUUGCAAAUCGCUCUUGUUUUAUGUAAGUGUAUUGAAGAUAGAUAAAGAAAACAAAAAUUAUAUUCUUUUUUCUCACUAUUCAAAUCGUUUAUAUAACUAGAUAUUAGACAAAAGAAAGAGGGUACUGAACUGCGUUUACGUAUGUGUACACUAAUAUUAAUGAAAAUGAAAAAGAAAUACAUUACAAACUACAUUAUUGCUACAACCAUAACGGCUUUUUUGGAAUUGCAAACAUUUGCUGCCUAACCUUACCAACACACGAAUUGUGGAACUACUACAUGAAAAGGUAUAUAUUUCAAAUCCCAAAUGCAAUUUAAUAUCUCUUAUGCAAACUUUUUUUUUAAAAAAUAUAUCAAAAAUUAACAUUCAAAUUUAAAAAUGUUAAUUUUUCCUUUGUUAAUUUUUUUGGGUUUCGGAAAAUAACCCUCUUUCUUUAAUUAAAGCGAAAAUUAUAUAAAAAAUUAUAUAUUUUUGUUUUUUUUGAAAGGUAGCCGUUUUUUUAAUUAAAAGUGAAAAAAAAAAAUUCGUGUUAGCCGUUUGAAAAGUAGCCGUUUCUGUUUUGGUUUUCGGGAAGUAGUCGUUGUUAGAUUUCCUUUUUAUCUAUAAAAAGUCCACUUCCAACUAUCUCACAUCAGAUAAUCCCAUUCUCCUUUCCAUCAAGAAAAUAAUAAUAAUAAUAAUAAUAAUCAGUUUCCGAACCAUGGAGCCGGAGAGCAACUUCCCGUCCCCUUCUUCUCCGUCGCUCAUAUCCUAAUACAACCCAUAGAAAACAAGAUCAUGUUUGUAAUCGGGAGCUACAUCAUGUACCACGACGACGAAGCUAUCGGCCGUGAUUCUGAUUCCCAAAGUAAACGCCGUAACCCUUUCUCUCAGCCGUAAGGUAUCAAAAUCCUCUUUCUUUCUCUGUUUUUUAAAAUGCUUUUUGUUUUCUCAAAAGCUUCUUUUUUGGGGGGAAGAGGGAGAUUCUAUAUUGCCCGGAUUGAUUAUAAGACACUUUAUAAAUUCAUAAUGUGAAAACAAGUAGAACAUCGUCCAGUCAUUGAUCGUUUCAUUUGUCUUUUUAUACUUAUGAUUUACUUAGUCCACUCAUAAAUAAUCAGUCCGGUAAUUUUAAUCGACUUCUUUCUCUCUGUUUUAAAAAUGUUUUUUUUGUCAAAAGCUUUAUUUUUUUUGGGAAAUUCUAUAUUACUGGACUGACAGACACUAAAUUCAUAAUGUGUAAACAAAUAGAAUGUCGUGUCCAGUCAUUUAUUUGUCCGUUAGAGAUCAUUAAUUUCAUUUUGCCUUUAUACUUAUGGUCAUUUUAGUCACUCAAAAUCAGUUCGGCAAUUAAGAGUUUCCCCAUUCGUAUUUUCAUGGUUUUCUUUUCAAAUCUUUUGCUUGUUUGUUGUGUUGUGUGUUUCUUGUUUUUUUGUGUUUGCUUGUUUGUCGAGUUAGAAAUCAGUGAUGCUGUGUUUUGGAACUUGACGUUGAAGGCUUAUCUGGAUAUGGGUUUUUAAAGAAGAAGCUGUUGUCGACCUCUCUUCUGCAUAUCAUACAAGUUAUGUUACAGACUUAUAUUGCGCUGAAAUUAGGACUUCAUUUGAUGCUCACCGUGGCCAAUGAACAUGUAAUGUUGCCAAUACAUGAUGUGUUAUUAAUUUUAUUAUCUGAAGAACUCCUGCCGUAAAUGAUAUGUGUGAUCUUGAUGAUACUAUAUGUCUCUUUUAGAUUGACAAGAAAAGAACUAAAAAGUAAAGACUACAAAUAACGUAAAAUAGACUUAUUAUUAUUUUAAAACUAUUUAUUUAGACUUACACAAUCAUCUAAAAUUAUACUAACAAUAGUUUGAAAACAACCUUUUGUCAAAAAAAGUUUGAAAGUUAAAAUGACAUGUUAUUAAUUUUAUUAUCUGAAGAAUUCCUGCCAUAAAUAACACGUGUGAUUUUGAUGAUACGAUGAGGUAAGAAAAAAAACUAAAAAGUAAAGACUAUAGAAAUUACAAAAAUAGACUUUUUAUUAUUUUUAGAGUAUUUAUUUGGACUUACACAAUCAUCUAAAUUUAUAAUAUAUAUAACAAAAGUUUGAAAACAACCUUUGUCAAAAAGAAAAGUUUGAAAACAACUUUCAUUUCAUUUCCAGUGUGAUCUUACCGAAGCUUUUUUAAAAAAAAGUUGUUGGGUCAUUUCAUUGGUAUGCUUUAAGUGAUCUUAACAAAUUUCUAUACCAAAAUCAAAAAUCUAAAUGCAAAAUCAAAAUUAAUUAUAAUUUUGUUCUAUUUCAGCACAAAAAAUACUAUGGUAUUGAAAAAAAAAAUACUAGGGUUAAAUUUGGAGAAGUAAAUACAAUCUAAUUACAAACUCAAUCGAAUAAAUAUUAUAUAUCUAAAUUACAUAUAUCUAAAGUAAAAUAUUACAAUAUUAUUUAAAUAAAUCAUAUAUAUAAUACAAAAUAAUUUAAAUAUAAUUGGAAUAUUAGUAACUUUUAUCAUAUAUAUUUUUAAUACUUAUAUCCAUGCAUGAGCACGAGAAUAAUUAAUAUGCUGUCUGUGAACUUCCUCGUAUAGUUUUAAAAUCCGAAAAAUUACUUGACAUUUUUUCCUCUUGAUUGGUUUUAGAAGGAAAAAAAUUUGUCAUCCGAAAAAAAAGAUGGGAGAUAGUUGGAUUACUCCUUGAUAAUUUAGACUUUCUCUCAUUUAUAUAUAAAUAUUUUUUAAAUUUUUAUUAGCUAAUAAAAAUUACUUGACAUUAUUCCUCUUAAUUGUUUUAGAAGGAAAAAAAAUUGUCAUCCGAAAAAGAAGAUGGGAGAUAGUUGGAAUACUCCUUGAUAAUUUAUUUAGACUUUCUCUCAAUUAUAUAUAAAUAUGUUUUAAAUUUCUAUUAGCUAAUAAAAAUUUAAUCAUUUUAUUAUUCAUUAAGCGUAUCAUUCUAGUAUUUAACGUGAGAUCUCAAAUGCAAAAUAUCAUUUCGCAAAUAAUAAUGUAUAUGUGUUAGAUAUUUAGAAAUUCAAAAAUAAUGUAUGAUAUAGUAGCACUUUAUAAAUCAUUAUUUUCCUUUAAUUUUGCAAAAGGUCACAUUAUCAUAUAUACACUCUUUAAAAACUUAGAAGGAAUUCUAAUUUUUAUUACAUUUAAAUGGUUACCAUUUUAAUAAAUACCUUAUUUUUUUAUGAAAAACAAAAAAAAAACAAAAUUAACUCUCGUAAAUUAUUUAUAAAUGUUUAAAAAUUAUUAAUAAAAAAUUAUAAACUCAACCUCACCCACUAAUUACUAAAUUCUAAACAAUAAUAAGCACUAAACUUUAAAACGUAAAUAUUAUAAUCUUUUUGAUUGAGUGUAUUUUUGAAAUUUUGUAUCCAAUUUAAUAUAUUAUGCAAGCAAUUUCUCAAAAUUUUACUCGCCUUCCCAUGAAAUAUGAUUGUGUACUUCCAUUUAUAUUUCAUUAGUUCCGUGUUGGGUAUUCACCAGCACUUUUAAUUUUAAAUUUCACUAAGAACUAAAAUAUUAAUUAUAUAAAUAAAUAAAUAAAUAUCAUUUUAUCCAUAAGAUUGCUACACGGUAAACAAUUAAGUUUUAAUUAUUUUUAUUUUCAAAUUUUACAUGAUUUUUUGGUACUAAUUCUAAUAUAAUAUUUUAUCAAUUCACUUUAGUGAAGAAAAAGGCAAAAGACAACCAACAUAUCAAUAUUUGUUAUUUUUAUUUAUAUUCGGCAACUUAAUACACUUUAUUAUGCUACAAAACUAACAACAAUUAAUAAUAUUGUUAUUUUUUUUCUUUGAUAAAGGCAUGUAUUAUUAUAAAUAUUAUUUGAGUUUUAAUGUAGAUAAGAAAUCAGGGUUAACAACUAUAAAGGCAUCUGCAGUCACUCUUUCCUUGGCUUUGUUUAGUGCAAAAACCAUCUCCUUUCCUUUUUUUGGUACAUUCAGUUCUACAUUGAGUAAUAUCACAUUCUCCUGUUUUGAUUGGGUAUAUGUCGUAACAAGUUUUUGGUUUUGAUGGUGGUCCUCUUUCCAGAGCAAUCGUCAUUACUCCUGUUAUUACAAUAGUUAAAAUAUAACUUCAGUUUUCUUAUUUAAAACAGAAAAUUAGUGUUUUUGGUUGAAAGAGUUUUUUUAUAGUAAAAUAAAAACUUAAACUAUGAACAUAUCUUUCUUAUCAUUGAUUAUUUUGGGAACAUUGCUAAACUCAAGAUUAUAGAAUUCAAUAUACAAAUUAUAUAAGUAUAUAAAAUAAUAUGAUAUAAGAAUAAAUUUAAUUUUAAAUAAUUGUAAAAUAUAAUAAUAAAAUUUUAAAUGAAAAUACAAAUACAAAUACAUACCGAAAAGAAGAAUUGUGAGCAUAACACGACCAAUAAGCGGAGGUUGAAAAGCAUUUUUCAUCUUUGAUAAUUAAAUAAAUGUGUUUUAAAAUUACAAACACAGAUAAUCAUAUUUAUAGAUGAAUCAAAAUUGAAACAUAUCUAAUUUAAGUAAGCUAUGUAUCUUCUAAAAUUCCGAUAUAAAAGGAUCUAAUUUGACCAAAAAUCUUUUUCAAAAUUUCUAGUUUUUAUUUGUUUGAUAGAUAAAAAAUAUUUUGACUUGGUUAAAUUUAAAAUAUUUCUUGAUAUACAUAAAACCAACCAAUUUCCAUUAAGUUGCACAUUCGAAAAUACAAAACAAGAACUAUUAAGCCGAUGGAUAAAUUUUUGGGGGUUUUGCAAAAAUGACUCAAAACAAAACAUUAAAUGCAAAAUGAACCCAUGAUUUUUUUUGGAACUUUCAUUUUUUCUAUUCACCUUAAAAGUUUGAAUUAUUCAUGAAAAUGCUUUUUUUUGUUGAAAUUGCUUGAUUUACUCAAUCAUGCUUAUAUUCCUCUUUUAUUUACAAUAUUGUUAUUAUCAUCAAUACACCAACAACCAUGAAAAACCAAUUUCAAGCUUUAAAUGCACAUAAAAUCAACAUCUCCAUUUUUAUAUUCUUAUUUCUUACACACACAAACCAUUUCCCUUUCCUCUUUUAUUUACAACAUUGCUAUUAUCAUCAAUACACCAACAACCAUGAAAAACCAAUUUCAAGCUUUAAAUGCACAUAAAAUCAACAUCUCUAUUUUUAUAUUCUUAUUUCUUACAAACACAAACCAUUUCCCUUUCAGAUUCUCUCUUAUUUCAUCCAACUUUUUAUUUCACAAUUUAUAAGCUUAUUAGAAUUACUCAAAUUCAUGAUUUUUGGUCAAGAACUAGUGGAUAAAUUUCACUAAGAAAUGAUGUGUGCUUGAAGAAAGUAAACAUGAACCUCAUUAGAUCUAAGACUGAUUUUUGAAUUUUUACAGAUCUGUUCGCUAAGAGUACAAAAGUCUCCUGAUCAAUGGAUAUGUUAGUUUUACAGUUGACUUUCUCUAUGUUUUUUAAAGACGAUUUCUCUUGAAGUCUUCAAACUUAUUUUGUUAACAACAAAGAAAUAAGAAGACUUCCACGAGAGUCUUUUCUAACAUCUUUGAGAUUUUUUUUUUCAAAACCAAAGGUAAGCCAAUAUAUUUACAAAAAAAGAAGACUUUCAGUUUGUAAAUUUGCAAUUGGGAAAAUGACUUAAAUGGUAGACUUCCAAGAAGUUUUAUGUCGGAAGACUUCUAGAAGUCUUCUUAGAGAAGAAGUCUCUAAGUCAAUGUUUAAUAAAUUUUUAUUUUCUCUAAAAUUAAAAAAAAACUUUAUAAUGUUUUCUUAUUAAUUCAUGUAUAUUAGUCAAUGUUUGGACUCCGGAAUGAAAUUUAUAACAUAAUUAGUGAUAAUUAUGAAGUUAGUAAUUUUCAUGUUUAUUAAUGUUUCUACCUAAUGAGAGAAGACUUUUGGGGGAAUCUUCUAUGUUAGUUUUUGUAAAACUUGUAUUUUCAACUUCAACAUAUGUUUUUUAGCUUUCAACAGUGUUAAGUAACUUCAAGAAUAUCAACUCAUGUGGCUUUAAUGUGUUUUCUUAGAUCAUAGGAUAUACUUUUUAAGAUUUAAAUUUAAGUUUCCCGCAUAAUUUUUAAUUUUCCGCUUAAAAUUUAAGUCUUCGGAGAAGACUUCUCAUAGUUUUUAUUUUUCGCUUAAACUUUCGAGAAGUCUUUUCAGAAAUCUUCUCAUAGUUGUUAAAUGAAGAAAAAUCAGACAUUGCAACUUACCGAUCUUUGAUUAAAAAGAUAAUUUUAAAUAAUAUAAUUUAUAUUUUAAACAAUAUAAUUUUGAUUAAAUAUUUUUUUCUCAAAUUAUUAAAAAUUAAUUUAAAUAAAAGAAAUUAAGGUAUAUUUAAUGAAUACAAAAGAUUUUUCUUUUUCUUUUUCUUUUUAAUUUAAAUUUAAAUUUAUGUUUUAUAUUUUCCAAAUAACAUUUAUACUAUAAUACAUUUAUAAAAUUUAAAGCGAAAAUAUUUUUAUAUGUAAUGUGAUUUCAUAAAAAAAAGAGUUUACAAAAAUAAUCUUGGCAUUAAAGUAAAGAAAUAAUCUUAUCUUUUAAAAUUUAUCAUUGUGUAUUUAUACUAUUUCGUUCUAGAUCAUCACUUUAUUUUUUCUAAUUUUAUUUUUCCUAAAUUAACGAAAACCAUAUUAUUAAAAAAUCAAAAUAUACUUACCUAAGAUGAAAAACCAAAUUAAUGCAAUGAAUACAAUUAGUUUGAUUUGGCUGAAUUAGAUUAAAAAUAGUUGUACUUUAAUUUGAAGGAAUAUGCGUAAGUCGAUCAAUCCAAAUUCUUUUAUUUAAAAAAAAAGAAAAAUUAAGAUUUGUUUGUUGCACAUAUCACUUAUUGUUAAUUACGGCCAUUUAUUAUGUCGACGGUUUUCUAAAUCCAUAAACCUUCUAACAAUCACGAAUGAUUAGAAAAUUAGGUAAACAUUGCAUGAUAUUAAAAAAGAAAAAUGGUAAAAAGAAACAACAUAUGUUCGAAAGAGUUGGUUGAAUACUAGAAAAAAAAAAUGAAAAACUGGUCUCGAGAUGAUUCAGAAAGAGAGAGAGAGGGGUCAAAAAUCAAAUACGAAACUUGCAAACCAAGUAACCUUUUCUUCCUCUUCUUCAAAGAAGAUCGGCUACGUUUGAUGGAAGCUCCUCAACAACCACAUUGUAAAACUUCUGAAUAUCAAAAAGCAUCCUCUCAUCGUCCUUGGUCACAAAGUUAAUCGCCACACCUUUCCUCCCAAACCUCCCACUCCUACCAAUACGGUGAAGGUAGUUCUCAG